RNAcentral lists this transfer RNA (136 nucleotides) under Hymenobacter madidus. RNAcentral's name for it is "Hymenobacter sp. BT559 tRNA-OTHER". It matches the Rfam family "tRNA". From Rfam's summary of the family: Transfer RNA (tRNA) molecules are approximately 80 nucleotides in length. Their secondary structure includes four short double-helical elements and three loops (D, anti-codon, and T loops). The record is from RNAcentral. Lineage: Bacteria; Pseudomonadati; Bacteroidota; Cytophagia; Cytophagales; Hymenobacteraceae.
CUACUGUAGCUCAGUUGGUUAGAGCAGGAUGGCUCGUCGCCUGUCGCCUCGUUUCCCUUUUUUAUUUGGGUGCCGUAGCCCGGCCAUACUUCGAUUGCGAUUCGCCAGGUUGCGGGUUUGAAUCCCGCCGGUAGCG